UAGUUCCGGGCCACCCUGCAUUAAAGAAACUUAAAAAAUAUAUACAUCCUACAAUAUCAUAUAAGAAUAAAAGAUGCCUCUCUCUCCUCAUCUCCACAUUUUAUUCUUUUUUUUCUUUUUAAAUUUCAGGUCUUAGCUAGCAGUUUGGAAAUAGAUGUGAUGAAAUAUAAAGUUUACACAAAGGAAACAGCGGAAAUUCUGGUUAAAUCUUAUAAAUGGUGCAGUAUGACUCCCAAGAUGCACAAACUUCUGUUUCACGGAUCAGAAAUAAGCUAGAGCUCUAGUGCCAAAAGGUACGAAUCCUGUGAAUUGAAAAAAGAAGAUGAUCUUUGACUGUGAGGCCCAAGAACUUUUAAUGCCCAUCUAUCAGCUUGAUGACAGCAGUCUAAGUGAAGAGUUUGAAGGGAGUGAUAGAGGUGAAGGAGAUGAAGAAGAGGACCAUGAAAGUAGCGAUGAUAGCCAUAGUUAGGUUUUUUAGUAUUACGCUUUCCUGAUUGUGUAACGGUGUUUACGAUGUUUUUUUUUUAAAUAAAGAGAGUAAGAAGAAUAUACAUUUGUAUAGUGUGA
This is a non-coding RNA of Bemisia tabaci, 567 nucleotides long. The record is from RefSeq and is a predicted model, not a curated record. Lineage: Eukaryota; Metazoa; Arthropoda; Insecta; Hemiptera; Aleyrodidae.